Molecule: non-coding RNA, 539 nt
Organism: Myotis brandtii (Brandt's bat)
Lineage: Eukaryota; Metazoa; Chordata; Mammalia; Chiroptera; Vespertilionidae
Source: the annotation of a RefSeq genome assembly
CAUUUGUGUAGAGGAAUAUGUGCCACAUGCCAUUCUCCAGCCUGCUGUGGGGAUUCCUGGCCUUCAUCUUCUCUGGAUCCAGCAUGGCUCAGAAAGUUAUUCAAGACCAAGUAGAAACAGUCAAGCAAGAGGGGGCACUAGUCACCACCCUGAACUGUCGGUAUGAAACAAGUGACAGCGUCUACUAUAUAUUUUGGUAUAAGCAGCUGACAAGUGGAAAGCUCAUUUUCCUUAUUCGUCAGGCUUCUUCUGGCCAGAAUGCAAAGGAUGGCCGCUAUUCUAUAAACUUCCAGAAAGCAGCUAAAUCCAUCAGCCUCACCAUUUCAACCUUACAGCUGGAAGAUUCAGCAAAAUAUUUCUGUGCUCUCUGGGAACUCACGGUGUUUAAAGUAAUGGUACAAGCUGAACAAAAACCCCAGAGCUCAGUAAGAGAGUCCCCCCACUGCAGAAGCCAAGCUGCAAUGCACACCUGCAGAUCCCAGACACAAAAUAGCAGUGACUAUGGUUGCUUAAUCUGUGGUCUGGAUCAGAAGACUUAA